The sequence is an unclassified non-coding RNA, 255 nucleotides long. The stretch from base 1 to 46 matches the Rfam family "Eukaryotic small subunit ribosomal RNA", at positions 1786 to 1831 of the family's 1831-position model.
AAGUCGUAACAAGGUUUCCGUAGGUGAACCUGCGGAAGGAUCAUUACGAGAGUGCUCCGGACCCUCUCCCUCCCCGGGGGGAUGCGGGGUCCCUAGCCAUCACCCCCUGUUUAUCUACCUUCGUUGCUUUGGCGGGUCAGUUGGUCCCCCCGGGGAUCGUCCCGCCAUAAGCCCCCUUAAAAACUCUUUAAUUAAGAUUGUCUGAAUGUAUUUACAAAAUGCUGAAAACUUUUAACAACGGAUCUCUUGGCUCUG